AACCGUACGAACGUUAUUCGGAAUCACUGGGCUUAAAGAGUCCGUAGGCGGCCGUGUAGGUGGGAUGUGAAAGCCCUCGUCUCAACCGAGGAAUUGCGUUCCAAACCACAUGGCUUGAGGAGGAUAGAGGUGAGCGGAACUGAUGGUGGAGCGGUGAAAUGCGUUGAUAUCAUCAGGAACACCAGAGGCGAAGGCGGCUCACUGGGUCCUUUCUGACGCUGAGGGACGAAAGCUAGGGGAGCAAACGGG
RNAcentral lists this ribosomal RNA (249 nucleotides) under uncultured archaeon. RNAcentral describes it as "partial 16S ribosomal RNA". It matches the Rfam family "Bacterial small subunit ribosomal RNA", at positions 528 to 776 of the family's 1533-position model. The record is from RNAcentral.